UAAUACGAAGGGUGCAAGCGUUACUCGGAAUUACUGGGCGUAAAGCGUGCGUAGGUGGUUCGUUAAGUCUGAUGUGAAAGCCCUGGGCUCAACCUGGGAAUGGCAUUGGAUACUGGCGACCUAGAGUGCGGUAGAGGGGUGUGGAAUUCCCGGUGUAGCAGUGAAAUGCGUAGAUAUCGGGAGGAACAUCUGUGGCGAAGGCGACACCCUGGACCAGCACUGACACUGAGGCACGAAAGCGUGGGGAGCAAACAG
This 255-nucleotide ribosomal RNA is filed under the name uncultured prokaryote. Its description in RNAcentral is "partial 16S ribosomal RNA". It matches the Rfam family "Bacterial small subunit ribosomal RNA", at positions 521 to 775 of the family's 1533-position model. The record is from RNAcentral.